UCAAAAACAUGGUCUUAUGGGUUUUAUACAAGAUCAGGCCUGCCCAAUGGUUUGACUUAAUGGCUGCAGUAUUUUGACUGUACAAAGGUAGCAUAAUCACUUGUCUCUUGAUUGGGGACUGGAAUGAAGGGUUUGAUGAAAAAUAGACUUUCUUUUGUAUAUUAUAAAAACUUAAUGUUUGAGUGAUAAAUCUUAAAUUUAGUUAUAGGACGAGAAGACCCUAUAGAACUUUAUUACUAUUUUAAUGUGUUUUUUUUGUUAAAAAAUAUACCAUAUUUUAUUAGUAAUUUUGUUGGGGUGACAGAAAAAAAUAAUAAACUUUUUUAGGUUUUAGACAUAAAUUUAUGUAAAGAUCCUUUAUUAAAGAUAAUUAGAUUAAGUUACCUUAGGGAUAACAGCGUUAUUAUCUUAUAGAGUUCUUAUCGAUGAGAUAGUUUGCGACCUCGAUGUUGGAUUAGGAUUAAUAAUAGGGGUAGGUUUUUAUUAUAUAAGUCUGUUCGACUUUUUAUUUUCUACAUGAUCUGAGUU
RNAcentral lists this ribosomal RNA (528 nucleotides) under Cyrtopeltis canariensis. Its description in RNAcentral is "partial 16S ribosomal RNA". It matches the Rfam family "Bacterial large subunit ribosomal RNA", at positions 1807 to 2611 of the family's 2925-position model. The record is from RNAcentral. Lineage: Eukaryota; Metazoa; Arthropoda; Insecta; Hemiptera; Miridae.